CAGCAGCCGCGGUAAUACGAAGGGGGCUAGCGUUGCUCGGAAUCACUGGGCGUAAAGGGUGCGUAGGCGGGUCUUUAAGUCAGGGGUGAAAUCCUGGAGCUCAACUCCAGAACUGCCUUUGAUACUGAAGAUCUUGAGUUCGGGAGAGGUGAGUGGAACUGCGAGUGUAGAGGUGAAAUUCGUAGAUAUUCGCAAGAACACCAGUGGCGAAGGCGGCUCACUGGCCCGAUACUGACGCUGAGGCACGAAAGCGUGGGGAGCAAACAGGAUUAGAUACCCCCGUAGUCCCUGUCUCUUAUAC
This 301-nucleotide ribosomal RNA is filed under the name uncultured bacterium. RNAcentral describes it as "partial 16S ribosomal RNA". It matches the Rfam family "Bacterial small subunit ribosomal RNA", at positions 509 to 807 of the family's 1533-position model. The record is from RNAcentral.